AGGGAGCCCUGGCCAAGGAGAUGAUCCAACUCCCAGUACAAGAGUCUGGGAGGAAGAAAGUGGGCAGCCCUGGCUGAAGGAGCAGGCAGAACAGCAGGACUCCAGAGAGCCUGGAAGGCAGGCUGUGUGGGGGAGGAGACUACCUGCUGGCCACUCUGCCUUCCACUCAGACACCUGAAAUUUAACCUUGGAGAACCUCUUCCAAGCCUCCUCUGCAGGAUCAUCACCACGGAAAACAUGGAGCAGAACCAGUGGGAGCUGGAGAAAUGGCUGGAGAAGAGCCAGGGGCCUGGGGCUGGUCCCCAGCUGUGCAAUAUGUGUGAGAGCUGGCAGGAGACAGAGAGUAAAUGCAUCCACUGGAGCCCUGAGGGGAGAGCAAUUCCCAUCCAAUUGCACAGCUGGAGAAAUCGAGGCCCUGGCCCCAAGGGUGGCCUCUAG
Molecule: long non-coding RNA, 438 nt
Filed under: Ictidomys tridecemlineatus (thirteen-lined ground squirrel)
Lineage: Eukaryota; Metazoa; Chordata; Mammalia; Rodentia; Sciuridae
Description: lncRNA (ENSSTOG00000032039.1)
Source: RNAcentral